Molecule: ribosomal RNA, 273 nt
Filed under: uncultured bacterium
Lineage: Bacteria
Description: partial 16S ribosomal RNA
Rfam family: Bacterial small subunit ribosomal RNA
Source: RNAcentral
ACCGGCCACACUGGGACUGAUACACGGCCCANACUCCUACGGGAGGCAGCAGUGGGGAAUAUUGNGCAAUGGGCGNAAGCCUGACNCAGCGACGCCNCGUGNGGGAUGAAGGCCUUCGGGUUGUAAACCUCUUUCAGCAGGGAAGAAGCGAAAGUGACGGUACCUGCAGAANAAGCACCGGCUAACUANGUGCCAGCAGCCGCGGUANUACAUAGGGUGCAAGCGUUGUCCGGANUUAUUGGGCGUAAAGAGCUCGUAGGNGGUUNGUCACGU